UACAGAGGUCUCGAGCGUUAGGCGGAAUCACUGGGCUUAAAGCGUGUGUAGGUGGAUCGUUAAGUACCUUGUGAAAUCCCACGGCUUAACCGUGGAACUGCUUGGUAUACUGGCGAUCUUGAGCCAGCUAGGGGCUACCGGAACAAAUGGUGGAGCGGUGAAAUGCGUAGAUAUCAGGAGGAACACCUGUGGUGUAGACAGCUUACUGGACCACUUCUGACGCUGAGACACGAAAGCGUGGGUAGCAAACAGG
RNAcentral lists this ribosomal RNA (253 nucleotides) under uncultured bacterium. Its description in RNAcentral is "partial 16S ribosomal RNA". It matches the Rfam family "Bacterial small subunit ribosomal RNA", at positions 524 to 776 of the family's 1533-position model. The record is from RNAcentral.